RNAcentral lists this ribosomal RNA (497 nucleotides) under uncultured bacterium. RNAcentral describes it as "partial 16S ribosomal RNA". It matches the Rfam family "Bacterial small subunit ribosomal RNA", at positions 899 to 1397 of the family's 1533-position model. The record is from RNAcentral.
ACUCAAAGGAAUAGACGGGGGCCCGCACAAGCGGUGGAGUAUGUGGUUUAAUUCGAAGCAACGCGAAGAACCUUACCUGGGCUUGACAUAUCCUGAAUACGGCAGAGACGUCGUAGGCUCGCAAGAGACAGGAAUACAGGUGCUGCAUGGCUGUCGUCAGCUCGUGUCGUGAGAUGUUGGGUUAAGUCCCGCAACGAGCGCAACCCUUGAUCCUAGUUGCCACCAUUAAGUUGAGCACUUUAGGAUGACUGCCGGUGAUAAACCGGAGGAAGGUGGGGAUGACGUCAAGUCCUCAUGGCCCUUACGUCCAGGGCUACACACGUACUACAAUGGCCGAAACAAACCGAAGCGAAACAGCAAUGUAGAGCAAAUCGGAAAAACACGGUCUCAGUUCGGAUUGAGGUCUGCAACUCGACCUCAUGAAGUUGGAAUCGCUAGUAAUCGUAGAUCAGCAUGCUACGGUGAAUACGUUCCCGGGCCUUGUACACACCGCCCGU